GGCUCAGUGGUAGAGCGAGUUAUUGGUAAGAACUAGGCCGUGGGUUCGAUUCCCACAGGCG
RNAcentral lists this transfer RNA (61 nucleotides) under Candidatus Gottesmanbacteria bacterium. Its description in RNAcentral is "tRNA-Thr". It matches the Rfam family "tRNA", at positions 9 to 63 of the family's 71-position model. From Rfam's summary of the family: Transfer RNA (tRNA) molecules are approximately 80 nucleotides in length. Their secondary structure includes four short double-helical elements and three loops (D, anti-codon, and T loops). Further hydrogen bonds mediate the characteristic L-shaped molecular structure. tRNAs have two regions of fundamental functional importance: the anti-codon, which is responsible for specific mRNA codon recognition, and the 3' end, to which the tRNAs corresponding amino acid is attached (by aminoacyl-tRNA synthetases). tRNAs cope with the degeneracy of the genetic code in two manners: having more than one tRNA (with a specific anti-codon) for a particular amino acid; and 'wobble' base-pairing, i.e. permitting non-standard base-pairing at the 3rd anti-codon position. Lineage: Bacteria; Candidatus Gottesmaniibacteriota. The record is from RNAcentral.